RNA transcript from Pongo pygmaeus (Bornean orangutan), 5580 nucleotides. It is a transcript of the gene named zinc finger protein 79-like, with no coding region annotated. The transcript has 7 exons. NCBI's taxonomy places the organism in Eukaryota, Metazoa, Chordata, Mammalia, Primates, Hominidae. The record is from RefSeq and is a predicted model, not a curated record.
GAGUCUUGCUCUGUCGCCCAGGCUGGAGUGCAGUGGCGCAAUCUCGGCUCACUGCAACCUCCACCUCCUGGGUUCAAGCGAUUCUCCUGCCUCAGCUGCCUGAGUAGCUUCAAGCGCUCGCCAUUACACCUAGCUAAUUUUUUUGUAUUUUUAGUAGAGAUGGGGUUUCACCGUGUUGGCCAGGCUGGUCUUGAUAAGGUUAUAGCUUAUCAAUGGAUGGAAACUGAUUUCAUUUCUAUUUUAAGUAUGAAGAGACUGGAUCCCAGAGAUGUUGUCAUUUGUAAUACAGAGAUGUAUACAAGAUCAGGCAGAGGAGCUAGAGAGCACAUACACACAUACACCCCAAUCCAAAAAAUACCACAGUGAGGUAGUAUAAGGAAAAAGACUGAACUGGGAAUAGAAAGGGAUUCUAAUCCUAGUUUUGCCAUUUGCUAGUUGUGAAACUUUAAUAACAUCUUGGGCCUGUUUCUACGGCAAGUAAGAAUAUGUGCUCCUGUAGCCAAAUCAAGUGAAUGAACUUGGGUGAGUUACUUAACCUCUCUGUGACUAUUUACUCAUCUGUAAUGUGUUAAUAAUAAUUCAUUAAUAAUUCAUUCAUUUCAAAUAGCAAAAUUCUUGACAAUCUUAUGAUUUCAGCAAACAAGAUUAUCUUUUUUUUAGUGAGAGUAGCAAGACAAAGGUGGGCAUGUCAUUGGUAAGGAAACAAUAAACAUUUAAAGAGAGUGAUUACUGAGGCAGGAAAAUAGGGCCUGGAGGCAGGGAACAUAACAGCUGGUUCACACUUCAGGUAUAGCAGGAAAUAUCUUCUCCAUAGGACUUACACCUUAAAUGACUGUAACUUUACUUCAUCCUCUCCAUUUACAUAGGGCGAACCCGAAGUAACCAAUUGAAUCCUCUAGGGGGUAUUUAAACUCCCAAAAAUUUUGUAACGGUGUCUUUGAGUUCCUAUGCUCGGCCCCCUCCCACACUGUGGAGUGUACUUUCACUUUCAAUAAAUCCCUUUGUCUCUUCCUUGCUUUGUUUGUGCGAUUUGUUCAAUUCUUUGUUCAAGAUGCCGAGAACCUGGACUCCCUCCACCUUUAACAAUUAUGACACUUUACAGCUGCUACAGUAUGAUUUUGGUAGAAAUAUUGCUUGAUGUUAACUUUGCAGCAGCCUGUCAGUGUCAUUGAGUCUGGUUAAUAGCAGGGCUGAUUUUUGCCUUCUCAAAUGCGAUAAAACAUGUAAAGUACUUAGAAGAGAGCCUGACAUACAGUGUGUGCUUAAUUGGCUAUUUUUAUUGUGGAAUAAAGGUGUCUGAUUUUUCUGGGACCCUGUGAUUUUUAAUUAGUGGUUUAAUGUUUGUGUGUUAUAAAAGAGAUAAUGAGAACCUGUUUUUGUCCUUUGCUUACUAGAGAUCUGUCAAUGAUGUAAUGCAGAGGAACUUUACAGCAUACAAAUUACUCACGUUAUACCCUAGUCACAGUGGAAGUGUCACAUAGAUCGGACUCUCCAGCCACCAUGCCUACACCUCCCAAUUAGGAUCUCAGGCCUGUGCUAGCCACGCCCCAAACCCUAAAUCUCUCCAGCCGCAGACAACCCUGGGAAAUGUAGUCUGCGGACAAGAGCCAGCCGGCCCACAGCCAAGCCAUGCAAGCGCAGUUCUCUUCGGACAGAGCCACUGUCUCAAGACUCUGCCCUUCUUCAAGAGAAGAGCCCAGAAGAAGAGAGAAUGACUGCUAGGCCCUUGAUGGCUGGAUUCAGGCUUUUUCAGUCCUUCCAUUUGGCGGGUCCCAAGUUUUUGGCCCAUGAUUGGUCCAUGUCCAGGAAGAAUGAGGUAUGUGGACAACUGGAGGGUGAGCAAGGUGGAGAGGAGCUUCAUUGAGUGACAGAACAGCUCUCAGGAGACCCAAAGUGGGUGGCUUCUUUCCGCAGACAGGUUGUCUACAUGAGUGUCCAGCUGUCAGCAGAGAGGAGAUCUGCAGUGGGUAGCUCGUUUCCGCAGGCAGGUCCUCCCGAUGUCUGUUUGAAUCUGACUGAGUCUGAGGUUUUUAUGAGCUCAGAAGGGAGGAAGUGCAUGCCGAUUGGUCCAUGGGUGGCCACGGGUGGCUGGAAAAAGCGCCAGAAGUUCUCACUUAAGGCCAGGCUGUGGACUGCAGCCAGAACUGACAGCCCAGCUCCCAUGCAUUAGGCCAUCCCUGGCUUGAAAGUGGGGCUUCAAAGGGGACCCACCCCUUUCCACCCAGGAGCCUGUCUGCCCCCUGCCACCAUCAAUUAUGUCCUCCAUGGUGCCCAGGCUGUUCGUGCUGGGCCUGAAGGCCCACACUGAGCCACCCUCAACCUGGCUCCAGCCUCCUUCCCAUGCUCUUCAGUGCCCAAAGUCCGGAGCGGGGAAAGCUGGCAGGGGAUGGCAUGUCAGCACUGCCCUGAGCACACCUGGUCAGGUCGUGACUGCACCCAGGCUCAGCCUCAACUUUGCUGUAAAAUCAGAGUGGAUGCCAGGACCAGGGAGAUGCCAAGCAGUGGGAGCAGGCACUUUGGAGCCUGUGGAGGACAGGGCUUCCAGGGCCCACAAGAGCACAGGGAUACCCAGGUCCACAGCCACAGCUGGGCAGCUGCAGCUGUUCCUGGAAGAGUGGGGUUCCUACCCCGCCAACUUUCAUGUUGAAUUAUAAUCCCCAGUGUUGGAGGAGGGGCCUGGUAGGAGGUGAUAGAUCAUGGGGGCAGAUAUCCACCUUGCUGUUCUUUUGACAGUGAGUGAGUUCUCACAAGAUCUGGUUGUUUAAAAGUGUGUGGCACCUCCCCUUUCUCUCUCUCUUCCUCCUUCUCCAGCCAGGUAAGGCAUGCCUGCUUCCCCUUCACCUUCCACCAUGAUUGUAAGUUUUCUGAGGCCUCCCCAGGUGUGCUUCCUGUACAGCCUGUGGAAUGAGACAGGGUUUCACCACCUUGCCCAGGCUGGACUCAAGUGAUCUGCCCGCCUUGGCCUCCCAAAGUGCUGGGAUUACAGUUACCAAAGACGUUGGAAGAGGUGGCUAUGGACAUCACCUGGGAGAAGUGGAAGCAAAUGGACCCUGUUCAGAAAUCCAUAUACAGGAACAUGUUGGAAAAAUAUAGAAACCUGGUUUUGCUAGGUAAAAUUGAUCCAGUUCACUGUCUUUUAUGAAAUCAUCUCUUCAUGAUGUGCAUGACAGUGUAAAGCUCUGAUUCAUCUAAUCUUCUAAGAACUCCAUAGAUGGGAAGCUUGAACCUGGGACCAAGACGUCAAGAGUAGAGCAGCAGGACAUUUCAAAAGAAGAUUAAUCUCAAGGAUUAGAGAUGGAAGAAUUUUCAAAGAGAAAGUCUGUACCAGAAGAAAUCUGGAAAUCUAGAGGCCAAUUUAAGAAUCAGCCGCUAAACAAGGAGAAUAAUCUAGGGCAAGAGAUAGCUACCUGCACAAAAAUUCCUACCAGAAAAAGAGAUAUAGAAUCUAAUGAAUUUGUGAAAAAUUUUACUGUAAGAUCAAUACUUGUUACAGAGCAAAGAGAUCCUAUGGAAGAGAAUUGUCAUAAAUAUGGUACAUGUUGAAAGAUGCUCAAACAAAACUCAGAUUUAAUUAUACAAAGAAAGUAUGAUGAAAAAAAACCUUGUAAAUAUAGUAAAUGUGGGAGAACCUUCAGGGGCCAUGUCACUCUUGUUCAGCACCAAAGAACUCAUUGUGGAGAGAAACCCUAUGAAUGUACUGAGUGUGGAAAGGGAUUUAAUCAGACUUCCCACUUAAGAAAUCAUCAGAAAACUCUUUCAAGAGAAAAGCCCUACAAAUGCAGUGAGUGUGGGAAGGCCUUCAGUUAUUGCUGAGUUCUUACUCAACAUCAGAGAAUUCACAAUGGAGAGAGACCUUAUGAGUGUACUGAAUGUGGCAAGACAUUCUGUCGUAGGACAUGCCUUACUCAGCAUUAAAGAAUUCACACUGGUGAGAAGCCCUAUACAUGUCUUGAAUGUGGAAAGGCUUUUAGUCAGAACACACAUCUUACUCUACAUCAGAGAAUCCAUACUGGAGAGAAACCUUUUGAAUGCAAUGAAUGUGGUAGGUCCUUUAGUCAGAGUGCACAUCUUACUCAACAUCAAGGAAUGCAUACAGGAGAAAAAUCCUAUCAAUGUAAUGAAUGUGAGAAAGCCUUCCAUGAUCACUCAGCUCUUAUUCAACGUCAUCUUGUCCAUACUGCAGAGAAACCCUAUGAAUGUCAUGACUUGGGAAAGCUUUCAGUUACUGUUCAGACCUCAUUCAACAUCAGAGAAUGCACACUGGAGAGAAACCAUACAAAUGCAAUGAAUGUGGGAAUGCCUUUAGUGAUUGUUCAGCCCUUAUUCAGCACCAAAGAACUCACACUGGAGAAAAGCCUUAUGAAUGUAAGCAAUGUGGAAAAGCCUUUAGCAGAAGCACAUCCUUACGCAACAUCAGGGAAGUCAUGCAGGAGAGAAACCAUAUAAAUGCAAUGAAUGUGAGAAAACUUUCAGCCUGAGUUCAUUCCUUACACAGCAUAUGAGGAUUCAGACUGGAGAAAAAUCCUACAAAUGUAAUGACUGUGGAAAAGCUUUUAGUGACUGCUCAGGACAUUUUCAGAGAACUCACACUGGAGAGAAGCCCUGUGAAUGUAAUGACUGUGGGAAACCUUUCAGUUUCUGUUCAGCCCUAAUUCAACAUAAGAGAAUUCAUACCAGAAAGAAGCCCUAUAAAUGCACUGACUGUGGAACAGCCUUCAGUGAUUGGUUAGCACUUGUUCAACAUCAGAUAACUCACACUGAAGAAAAGCCGUAUAAAUGUACUGAAUGUGGAAAAGCCUUCAGUCGGAGUACAGACCUCAAAAAUCACCAGAAAACUCAUACUAGUGAAAAAUCCUAUAAAUGUAAUGAAUGUAGAAAGGCCUUUAGUUACUGCUCUGGUCUUAUUCAACGUCAGGUCAUUCAUACUGUAGAAAAACCUUAUGAAUGCAGUAAAUGUGGCAAAGCCUUUAGGCAGAGGAAAGAUCUUAAAAAACAUCAGAAAAUGCAUACCGAAGAGAAACCCUAUGAAUGUAAUGAAUGUGGAAAAGCCUUUUAGCCAGAGCACAUAUCUUACAAAACACCAAAAAAUUCAUAGUGAAGAGAAAUCAAAUAUACAUACUGAGUGUGGGGAAACCAUUAAACAAAACUCUUCUUUUUUACAACAAUAAAAACCUCACACUGGAGAGGUUCUCUGAAUGCCUUAAGAAUUUGGUUAAUAUGGAGACCCUUCCCGGGGAAAGAGAAGGAAGGUCAUGGAAACUGUUGACCACUUAGAAUGAUCACAUGGUUUAGUGGAGAGAGCAUGAUUCUGGGUUUUAAAAGUCGUGGAUCUCAAUCUCAGCUCCUAUUACUAACUAGAUCUUUUACUUUGGGGUAAGUCACUUCAUAUCUUUAGGCCUUAAUUUCCUCAUCUGAAAAACUGGAAUGCCUGAUUUGUUGAACUUUAAGAUCCUCAAUUAUUAUAUUUACUAGGAAUUCAAGUUUCUAUAGAUGUGGUUCAGAAUUGUGACUUACUUAUUGUACAUCAGGUGUGAUUCACAAGUGAGCUUGUAGUAGUUAUUAAGAAGUCAAUAAAGAUAU